Molecule: ribosomal RNA, 855 nt
Filed under: uncultured fungus
Lineage: Eukaryota; Fungi
Description: SSU rRNA
Rfam family: Eukaryotic small subunit ribosomal RNA
Source: RNAcentral
CCUGGUUGAUUCUGCCAGUAGUCAUAUGCUUGUCUCAAAGAUUAAGCCAUGCAUGUCUAAGUAUAAACACGUUAUACUGUGAAACUGCGAAUGGCUCAUUAAAUCAGUUAUAGUUUAUUUGAUGGUUUUUGCUACAUGGAUAACUGUGGUAAUUCUAGAGCUAAUACAUGCGUACAAGCCCCGACUUCUGGAAGGGGUGUAUUUAUUAGAUAAAAAUCAACACUGUUGGUGAAUCAUGAUAACUUCUCGGAUCGCAUGGCCUCGUGCUGGCGAUACUUCAUUCAAAUAUCUGCCCUAUCAACUGUCGAUGGUAGGAUAGAGGCCUACCAUGGUUGCAACGGGUAACGGGGAAUAAGGGUUCGAUUCCGGAGAGGGAGCCUGAGAAACGGCUACCACAUCCAAGGAAGGCAGCAGGCGCGCAAAUUACCCAAUCCCGACACGGGGAGGUAGUGACAAUAUGUAACAAUAUACGGCUUUAUCGUCGUAUAAUUGGAAUGAGUACAAUUUAAAUCCCUUAACGAAGAACAAUUGGAGGGCAAGUCUGGUGCCAGCAGCCGCGGUAAUUCCAGCUCCAAUAGCGUAUAUUAAAGUUGUUGCAGUUAAAAAGCUCGUAGUUGGACCUUGGGCCUGGACGGGCGGUCCGCCUCACGGCGUGUACUGUCUUGCCGGGCCUUUCCUCUUGGUGAUCUGUUGUUUCGGCAGCAGGGAACCAGGACCUUUACUUUGAAAAAAUUAGAGUGUUCAAAGCAGGCUCGACGCCGGAAUAUAUUAGCAUGGAAUAAUAAAAUAGGACGUGCGGUUCUAUUUUGUUGGUUUUUGGAAUCGCCGUAAUGAUUAAUAGGACAGUCGGGGGCA